GCCCGCCUCGUCCAGCCUCCCCGUUGACCGGUCGCACCUCGUGGCCCAGCUCCAGCCACUUCCGCACCGCACCAGGCCCGGAUCUGCCAGCUCUCUGAAGCCCAAUGUGAGCAGCCCAGUUGCACCAGAUUCGGCCUGUGUAGUUUUUUUUCCCAGAUCUGCGAAUUUAGCUUUUAUCCCAGGAUUUACUGUUUUGCAGAAAAGUCCCCCUAGUUCAUGCAUUUAAUAACUCACAAUUGGUGCAUCGGAUUAAAAUGUUUUAUAUAUGAAACUUGCUUAGAAUUUUGUCUAGAUUCAUAAUAUGCAACUUUCACCCAUGUUUAAAAUGUUUAAAAUGCUGUUUGAGUAAAUUUGCUCCUAUGCCAUGUUAAAAUGAUUUAAUUCAUAACUAAAUAACCGUAACUCCGAAUUUAAUAAACUUUAUAUGUAAAUGGGGUAGAAUUUUGCCUAGUUUAACAUGGUGGCAUAAUAUUGCAUGUUUAAUAACCAUAAAAUAUGGUUUAGGGCAGAACAGGACCAAACCUAAAAUAUGCACAUGAGGAGUUUCCAGAUUUGUUGUUCAUUGCUUCCGGCCUCAUUUAACCUUGACUAGAUAGGUAGUUUUCAUUUGCUUCACCCUCUUGCCAUGCUUAACAACAUUUAAUAUUGUUGGGUACAUAAACGGGAUCAAACUAAAUAACUUAUCGUGGUGUUUCGUCAAUAUGCAACUCGUUGCAUAUUGAGCUCCAUUUAAUUUGUAGGAUUGUUUGUGCACUUUGCCAUGCCAUGCCUCAUUAAACCGGACAUGCAUCAUACUUGUUUGCGCAUCAUGCCAUGUCUAUGUGAUGGUUGUUUACCAUGUUGUUUGCU
RNAcentral lists this ribosomal RNA (849 nucleotides) under Triticum aestivum (bread wheat). RNAcentral's name for it is "partial small subunit ribosomal RNA". Lineage: Eukaryota; Viridiplantae; Streptophyta; Magnoliopsida; Poales; Poaceae. The record is from RNAcentral.